UGUAAAAAGAAAAAUGAAAAUGUGCACUGUCGCUUUUGGUGUUUAGAAAUAGAUGUGGCUACACUGAUACAGGUUAAGCUUCCAUCACAGCACCUUAAUGCAGUAGUGACAAUGAGGCCUGAAACAUGU
Small nucleolar RNA from Erinaceus europaeus (western European hedgehog), 129 nucleotides. The record is from Ensembl. NCBI's taxonomy places the organism in Eukaryota, Metazoa, Chordata, Mammalia, Eulipotyphla, Erinaceidae.